GCUGGGUGUGGUGGCCCAUGUCUGUAAUCCCAACAGCUUGGGAGGCUGAGGCAGGAGGAUCAUGAGUUCAAAGCCAACCUCAACAAAAGCAGGGGCUAAGCAACUCAGUGAGACCCUGUCUCUA
RNAcentral lists this small RNA (124 nucleotides) under Marmota monax (woodchuck). The record is from RNAcentral. Lineage: Eukaryota; Metazoa; Chordata; Mammalia; Rodentia; Sciuridae.